CCCGAGAAGCACAUUGCACAGGGUUAAAAAAUUUAAGCCUCACAUUCCCAAGCAAUCUUAAGGAGGCCAACAGAAUUGAAAUCACUGAUGCAAAGUAUCAGCAGUUAGAAAUAUUUAUACACACAACUUCUUUAUUGUAGUCAUAUGAUGAUGAAAUCAGUACGUAAAUCAGCACCAAGGAUAGCCGAUCAGACAAACAAAAAUUCUGCAUCCCACUGAACAACACUAUUAUGCAGGACUCAUUUUAAAAGGCCCUCAGUUCUAAUUUCUAUAAGAGCUUGAAGCUUUGAAGCCAAGGCUACGAACCUUCUCUAUUGUGACUUCUAAAUGUACCUAUGAAAGUAAGGAUCAGGAACAUUCUCUAUUAAACCAACAAACUGAACAAUGAGAACUUGAAAUAUGUAAAAGUACUAAUGAAAGUAUUUAAUCUGUGCAUGUACAGUGGACAAAGAUUACAACACACGGCAUGUUGCAAACAUCCUAACCAGCGUACUUUUGAUGUAACAUGAGAACUUGAAAUGUGUUAAAUAGAGAGAAAAGGCUAAUGACCUGUCUACAAAUUAGAAGUGAAUUGAAUAUUUACUAUAAUGUAACAUGAGAACUUGAAAUAUGUUAAAUAGAGAGAAAGGGCUAAUAUCUGGUCUAAAGAACAGAACAAAUUUGAAUAUCAGUUUCGCCAACCCUGGAUGAUCCAACUCACUUGGUAUAAUCCACGAAAUUAGGGAGCAAAUAUAAGUAAUCCUUCAAGACGCUAGCAACAUCUUCAGGAUUCGACGGCAGGCAUGUAGUGGAGUACUCACAGAGGAAAUCGCUGCCGGAUAGGCCCUUGGCAUCGAACAGAAGACCGCACCUCGUUGCAUUCUUCUCCUGCCGUUGUAGCUCCCUCUCCUGUGUCCUCUCGAAAUUAAGGAAAGAGCAGUAAAGUAGUGAACAGAGGUAUCUAAGACGUAUAACUCAAAUAACAAUUUCUUUCGCCCAAACAAACUAAAAGAAUUUUAUGUUUGGUAGCAUAUAUCCAAGGGAACAGACAUGUUGUCUGUCUUAUUUCCUUGACACACAUAUACCGAACAAUAAAAUGGAUCACACCUUCUUUUAUACAUAUAGGCAAGCCAACCAUCCAAACGGUCUAUGUAUGUAACUAAAUCAAUAAUCUAAAACCAGCAAGCAACAUGCUUGAGGGAAACACAUGCUACUCUCACAAGCACGAUCUGGUUCACAGGAACUAGAUACAGAUUGUUUAAAUAAACAAAGGGAAACACAUUGUACUCUCCCAAGCAAAACCAGAAACCUGAAUAAAUGACCGGAGGCCAAGUUCACAUAUGCUCCAGCCAUGAUUUGCCCCCAAUUUUCUGCAACCAAAAUGGAAGUGUGUCAUUAAUUUAGCAGCGGGUACAAGCACAUACUUAACAAGGGACAAUCCUAACUUGGGAUUCAGAGGCAAGAAACAGUUCGAACAUGUGUGCGUGACUAAUUUAGUAGCUGGUACAACCACUUAACAGGGGACAAUUCUAACCUAGGUUUCAGAGGGAAAUGGUUAAAGAGGUAGUAGGAUUUAAGUCCUAAACAGUGUAGCAUGUAAAAUAUUAUGACAUCACUACAUAGACAGAGCUAUAUGCCUAUGCUAAGCUUCAGUCGACUUAUAAGUUCGUUAUCACUUAUAACUACAGAACAUGUCAAAAUCAUAAAUUAGAGUUAACUCUAUCUCUACCAUUAUGUUUUUCAUACAACUGUCAAAUUUUACCAAUCAUGUUUAUCGGAAAAAAUCAAAUAGUGAACAUUGAAAAACGGACCCAAUCAUGUUUAGAAGAAGUUAUGUACAUGCAACCUAGAGAAACAGUUUAUAAAGUACAUAAAUCCAAUACAAAUUACCUCAAGAGCAGCUUCCAACGAUUCAGAUGAGAGACUCAGUUCUGAUUGUAUAUCACCAACACUAACUUUUCCUUGGUCAAUUAGCUGCCAAGUAAAAGCAUAAAACCCACUUAACUAAUAACACCAAAACAUAUGUACAAAAAUCUUGCUCUGUAAGAUUAGCAGGUACCUUUCUAAGAAAUGUAGAAACAUCACCAGAAUUGCUCACAAGAUUCCCAGCCCAUGUAGGCUGAUCAACAACCAUAUUUGUGCAUUGAACUUGUUGAUUUUCCGUGCCUCUAACAUCACAUGUUGAGGUAACAAGCUCUGUUGUCUGUGCUUUGUUUAGGUUGGACAAACCUGAGCUCAUGGGUGUGAGGUUCAUGAAUUUGUCUUUACUCUUGCGCUUAGAUCUUAUUUGAGCAGAAUUUUCAUCAUCCAGCCCAACUCAUGUGGUAUCCUGUUCAGCAACACCAUUGACAAGGUGUAUGGAGCUAAUUCCUCUGACUCCAGAAUGCUUUGAGCAAAAUAUCCACAACUCAACCUACAAACAGAUAUAUACAAGAAAAAUAUUAGCAAGCAUAAACAACCAAGGUAAAUAACAUACACGAGAAGAAAUAGCCUACCAUUCUUAAGCCCAGAUUUUCCCAUAUCUCCACUUGAUGUUUUUUCUAUCUUGCGCAUAUAGGAUGAAAGCAAGCCCAGCAUGUCCCUGGAAAAAAUAAGCAGUUAGUAACCAAAAAGCAACAUAUAUCAACAAGGUUAAAGAAAGUGUUAGGUGACCUGGUGGCCAGAUCCAUCCCUUUGUGUUCACCAGCAGGGGAGUACAUGAGAGAAGAAGAGAUCUGGAAGAAGGGAUGGGUGGGGAGCAGUAGAGAGGAGACAAUACCAAAGAAAUGACGUCGCGCAUCCGCCGCGUGCCUUGUCCGGGCAGGAGGUCCGGCCCUGCCAUACCCCUCUUCUCCCCUUCACGUCCCACCUCUUAUCUCUCUCCCUCUCAUCUUCUCACCCCUCGCUCCUCUCCAGAUGCCCCCACACUCUCCUCCUCCUCCUCCUCCUCACCCGUCUCAUCAAGCGCAAAGGGCAAGAGUGAACCAAGGACUGAUAACUUGAUCGAGGAAGAAACUUCAUUUCCUUAAUAGCAUUUGGCAUAUUAGAAUAAAAAUGAAGUACCAUCAGGUUGAUCUCUAAUUUUCACUGAACUAACAAAAACACAUUUUACACUGCCCACGUACUACUAUUACUGUCCAUUUGGAGUAGAAUUUGUAAGUGAAUGUUUAUCUACUGCUGCACUCAAGUUAUCAUAUGCUUGAACUAAAACAUUCCUAUCUUCAACUAAAUAUAUCAUUGUGACCGAGCACACACAAUCCAAUAACUAAAAUACUACAGUUAUUUGGUUACAAAAAGAAACUUAAGUAUGGAAUCAACAGAAGAUAAAUAGUAUAACUGUUUCACAAACUAAUAUAGCUACAACUUGUUUUCUAGUAUAUCUUGCAGAGUCGCAUUCAUGACCAGAUACCACGUAAGUAAGCUCUAUAUUGUACUUGCCUUAACAGAGGUUGAGUGUUGCACGAUGAGUUUUGUAGCAUCCGCAUGAUCCUUGUUCAUGUGGCCCUGUGGAAUACACGCAGCUAACUUGAGCAUAAAUACGCCAAAUUAAGAUCAAUAAUGGCCAAUGCUACAGCAUCAGCUUGAUUAGCUGAAAUUAAUGAGAAUGAUAUACACACUACGCUGACUGAACUUUGUACACACUUAAGACAGCAAAACCAAUGCAUGGAGUUCUACAAUAAUUAUCUGUCCUUGUUAUCUCACAUCAGCUUGAUUAGCUGAAAUUAAUCAGAAUGAUAUACACACUACGCUGAUUGAACUUUGUACACACUUAAGACAGCAAAACCAAUGCAUGGAGUUCUACAAUAAUUAUCUCUCCUGCUUGUUAGCUCAGCAGUUUGUAGCUAGCAAAGCUCUAGUAUUCACAUGGAGUGUAAAACAAAUGGCUGGAAACAACAUUAACCUGGCUUUACCUAUGUUAGUAAAUAGAAGGAAACUCAAUUGGGAACCGACAUCAAGAUUUGAUUGUUCCAACAGGGAAUGACUGAACAUUUAUCCGGACAACAACAAAUCUGAUCUGUUGUUUAUAGUGUUCAAGUGCAGCGUCUGAUUUGGUGUGAUCGUCAGACAUAGCAACUGUGAGGAAAAAUGCAGAAAAGUUCAGGUAAUCCAACCCUAUGCUGUAAGGAACAGAUUGAGGAUUUAAUAACCAGCCAAUGCAGCAUCAAAUACGGUUACUGAUAAGUGGCAAGAAAACAGCAUGUAUAACAGUAUAUAUCGCAGCAGACAGAGGUGAUUAGCUUUCAAGGGGAUAAAUACCUUUGGUGUAGCCGCUGCAGGCGACACUGGACGGACCAAUGUUCUUGUUCCUCCGGCAAACUCUGUGGCGACAUUGGACGCUUCGUGCAAAUUUCGACGGAAUUUGAUGGAGAUUAUGGCCCAAGGACGCAAAUUGAUGGAGAUUCCGGCUGAGGACCCCUCCAUCUUAUAGCAGCCAAGUUAAAUCCGGGUCAGGCACUCAAUCAAUCUGUGUUGGACAAUGACACGGUCACGAGUUCAGUCCAAAUCAGACACCGGAGUAGGAUAUCAGAGAUUAAGAAGCUUACCUACAGUUCACGCAGCCUAGCAGAUGCGUAUGGGCUUCUGCUGCCCACUGCCUCUACUUGCCACCGCUGCUGCUGCUUGCCACUGCUCCUCCCAGCUGAUCUGCAGGCCCUAUAAGAACUAACGGGAUGACACGAGAACAGUAUGGUAUAGAAACAGAAGAUCUGGGCAAGAAGGAAUGGAAAAAUACAAACCUAUAUUAUACAUACUAUUACAGUUCGAUAUGAAGAUUCUCAAGAGAGAUGUGUAAACUAAAAUACUAAAAAGAAUCAUAGCCAAUUAAAAAAUGGCUGCAUACACAUAUACAGAUUUUCAGGAGAAAUGUGUAAACUAAAACACCUAACAAAUAUUUGAAUCAUGUAUAUGCAAAGCACAUUGCUAGCACGACCCACCAUGCAAACGAUCAUCAUAAAUACUUGUGAAGCUGUCUCAAGACCCUCUCCCAUUUGAAGCCGCACCUCCCUGUCUCUCCUGCAGAUCGAAUCCAGCGCUGCCGCCAUCGCCGGGAAGCUCGCCUCCGCACCCGGGGCAGACGAGAUGCGGGGUAUGGGUUUAUUAGCCCCAGUAAAAUGACUUGCUCCCUUAGAAUUCUUCGCAUAAAGUCAUGAACUGUAGUUCAAUAUAUUUUUUAUUUCUCUGAUACACCUCUCAUUAGAUAAAUGGAUCUGGAUCUGAAAAAUAUAUACUAAUGGUCAACAAAAGUAGAGUAGUCCCUUUGGAAAGGGCAAAAGGGAAUAAAAGCACGGCUAAAAUAUAUACCAUUCAUGCCCUGUCUCAACAAUUUCUGCAUCUCAUCAUAACUAAAACAUGAUUCGCAUCUAAUCAGAACUAAAAACCAGUUAACAGCUCGAUCAAUGCCAGCAUUUAAAAUCUGAACACCCUACAAUCCUGUAAUGCAAUAACAAAGAAAAACUGAAUAGUGGUUGUCCCCCUUGAUUCUUCAACAUGUCCUCUCUUCUGCCUCCCUAUCCUACAAUACAACAACCAAGAAACAGAGCAAUUAAUCAUAAGCGCAUAGCAAUAAGACCAAAAAGAUUGGUUCAGUUGAACUAUUAGUAAGCAGGAGACACGACGAAGAUCAAGAAUUUACAGACAUCAUGUGCAAACAUGCAACAUAUCAUCAUUGCAGUACUGCCGCAAGUAUCGAUCACUAAUUACAAUAUCAUGACAGAAUGCUCAUGUGGCCAUUCUUAUCCCAAGAUAUGCCAUCUUCUUCUAUGUGGCAUAUUCUAAUGCAAGUAUGGACCAAGAAUAUGUUCUAAUUACUUGCUAGCACUCCAAGAUAAUUAUAGAACAUGCAAGUAUGGGCCAGCGAAUCGAUUAUAUGUGCAGGUACAAAAGAUAAAGUGGAUAACCAGCCCAUUAGGUAAAACUGUAAAAAAAAUAAACACCUGACUGUACUUCCACUGAAGCUAUUGCAGCAUAGGUAGUUUUUUGCUCUUGGUCUGCACCAAUGGACCCAAGGUAUCAUGCUCUUGUGUUAGAGAAUACCAUGUUUUCUUUUUUAUUCUUUGUUUAUAUUGGCAUGUGAAAUGCAAUUCACCACUUUGUACUCAGACUUGUUUUGCCCAUACACCAGAAGCACCAGAAGGCAAACAUAAACAAUAAACAGGAGGCAACAAUGAAUUAAAAAAACAGAGGAUAUGCAUAUGCUAAUGAAUUAAAAGUAAACAUUUGGAAAUAUCCCAAAUGGUAAAUCUAUCACGAGAAGUUUCUUAUGAAUCUUUGUAGCAAUUUUUUAGAGAGCAUCAAACAUGUAAUCAGAUAAUUCUUUGUAAGCAUGCAUCCAAAUUCAUACUUGGACAGAGUGUAGAACAAGGGGCAGCAGAUCAACACCCCCUUCAGUAAACAAACAGCCACCCCUGGCAGUACUGCAAAAGAAAUCAUGUAACUGAGAUAAGCACUGAUAUAGCCAUAGAAUAUAUGAACAAUCAGAUUCAGUUGACCACUCUGUUCCUGCCAAUGCCCUCCAUGAGCUAAUGAGAGGAUCGAUUCAAUUGAAGGAAGCUUCCUCGUAGCAACAUGGCCAAAACUAUAUGUGAUUGCAAGCACACGGGAUUGCUAGGUACAGAUCAAUUGAAAGAAAUCUUAAGAACAAAAAACAAAAUUUCCAAACAUGCAUCUUUUGAGCAGUACAUGUAUGUGUUGCUUAUUCACCUUCUUUGCCAUGGCUUGCUGCUCCAAGCACGUGCAGCCCCAUAUCCUCCAUGGUUUGCUACUCCAAAACUGAGCAGCCCCCAAAUCCUCCAUUUUUACUGUUCUGUGUGUUUCUUCGUGUGAGAAAGGAGAAGAAACGACAUAGAGAGAUACAUACGGGAGAAGGGAGAGAAAGGACGUGGUCACCUGUAGACUGUGGUCAAGCCGCCCUGGAAGCAAGGUCCCGCCCGACCUUGCCGGUGCAGGCCGACGCCGGCGGUGGAAGACGACGAGCCGGCGGCACUCCUUCCGGUGGUCCUCUCCUGUCGGCCGUCGACCCCCUCUCCUCUUUCCUCUCUCUUUCUCCCUCCUCUCAUGUUCUUCCUUCUCUCUCUCCCUCUCAUCUUCUCUAUCCCGCAGAUCAAAUCGAGCGGCGCCGCCACCGCCCUUUGUCUACAAGUCGUCACGCUCCUUCCGGUCACCCUCUCUCAUCCGCCGUCACACCUCGCUCUCCUCUUUCCUCUAUAUUUCUCCCUCCUCUCCUUCCUUGUCUCUCUCCCUCUCUCAUAUUCUCUUCAGCAGAUCGGAUCGAGCGCUGCCGUUCUUUGCCGCCGCUGGAGAGGGCAGUGAAGAGGAGGAAGAGGCGGCACGGUGGAGAGCAGGGCAGAAGGGAAGGAGGCGGCGGCGGCGCCGUGGAGAGGGAGGGGAGCGGGGCGGCUAGGGUUGGAGGGGAGGGGAUUGGGUGUGCGUGUGGCUCGGGGCCGAGUGGCCGACGAGGGAGGGAGGAGCGAGGGGCGCGGGGCUGUGGAUUGGGGCUAGGGUUCGCACGGUGCGGUGUUUUUUGUGCUCGCGUGGUGCGCUGCAACCCUACGCGCGGGCACGGUGCGGUGGUCUUUUUUCCCUCGCGUGGUACCGUGCGCUCGAUGCCUUCGUUGUGACUACCACUCUAGGAGGCUUUAUAUGUUAGAUUAAUGACUCAUGAUAGUAAUACAGUAGCAAGAUUUAUAUCUUAAGUGCCACCUUUAACCUGUAAGACGUUCAUUACAUUCUUAUGGCAUGAACAGCAAAGCAUUUCUUAUCUUCCAACAUCAAUAUACACUAAAGUAUCUAUCUUAUGCCCUUCACACUUCACCAAUGAAAACAGCUUAAUAUUAUUGUUUGCUAAACAUGUUCUCCGUCUAUUUCGCAACCAAGUUCAAUACUUGUCUAUAGAAAAGGUAGGAACUUCUCUUAUAGUUGCAGUCUACUGUUUUUUUAGUAAUUCAAAAAUUCGUUACUAAUUUGCAAUGCUUUAAAUAAAAUUAACUUAUAAAGACAUUUUCUUCUGAAACAUAAAUAUUUUAAAGUAUUACACAUAGACUACAAACACGAGGAAUAAUAAUAAAAUAUUUUGGCUCUGUUUGCCUGUUCUCCAUGCAAAUGGGAAACAUUUCAAACCAAACAAUACUUGCAACUUCAUUACAUAUGAUGACACACUUUACUUCCGUCAAAAUGUAUAUUUUAGAAAAGGUAGGAACUUCUCUUAUAGCUGCAGCCUACUCUUUUAUUUACUAAUUCCGAAUUUCUUUACUGAUUAGCAUUCUUUAAAUAAACUUAAGAUAUGAAUACAUUUUCUUCUGAAAUAUAACUAUUCACAAGUAUUACACGUAGACUACAAACACGAAAAAUAAUAUAUUUUUUCCCUAUUUGCCCUGUUCUCCUUUUCCAAAUUGUAAAUAUUUAAAAUUAAACAAUACUUGCAAUUUCAUUAUCUACUAUGGCACACUUUCCUUUCGUCAAUAUCUGUAUUUUAUAAUUAAGGUACAACUAAAUAAGAAACUUGUUAAAUCUAUACUUAGAAACAGUACCUGCAGGAAGAACAGAGCCUUCCAAAGCACAUGUGUACAAUUGGAUAUGUUCUUCUUGUCACCUUCUGCAAUCUGUCAUUAAACUUGUUCCUGAUAGAAAAUGACAUUGCAGAACAAGUGAUUCGGCACGAAUUGCUUGCAAUACAUCUGCCAGUAUAGUACACUAUACCAUAAAACAAAUUAAAAUUUGAACUAAAGUUAUAAACACACUAAAAGUAGUAUCUAUUUCUCUCUUCAUCUGUUCAUACUUUGCUCUUACUUUCUCCUUACUUACAUAAGUUUAACAUCUGCAAAGAAGUGCACAUGCAUCUACACAUUGUUCUUCCGAUCAUUUCUAAGAACUCAUGUCUCUUUACAUUUCAAAUACAGCAACCAUGAGCAAGUCAGAUACAGGGAGUGCUACAUCGCUCAGACGCAGCUUCAGGCCAGUCCAUUCUACUCCACCAGGUUCCCUUUGGUAGCAACAAGAGUCCACCCGGCCGGUAAAUGGGUUCACUUUGGAAGAAUUGCUCAACAAGAUACAUCCACUGAUCUGUGAUCGAGGGACGAUCACAGUCCAUGCUACAUCACACAAAGAGUCAAUCUUCUCUUUCACAAACGACACUGACACCCGUCUAGGAUACGAGUUGCUUACCGGUUGCAUGGAGUGCAUAACACAAGCAGGCAGUCUCAAGUUCAAGCAGUGGCUCCACUACUAGGAAAAGGGCUAUAGAUGGAAUUGACACUAAUGGCGCGCCAGACAUGUGGUGCGCCAUUAGUAUAUACUAAUGGCGCACCAUCCUCUGAUGCGCCAUUAGUGUUGAAACUACUAAUGGCGCACCCUGCCCACGGUGCGCCAUUAGUACCAAUUUUUUUUUUGAACUAGUGCGCCUGUCCAAACAUACUAAUGGCGCAUCCGCGGAUGGUGCGCCAUUACUAGUUGUAACUAGUAAUGGCGCACCAGCCAGAAGGUGCGCCACUAAUGUUAUUUUUUUAUUAUUGUUUUUAUUCCUUUUUUUGCAAAAGUACUAAUGGCGCACCACCAGGGGGUGCGCCAUUAGUAACCUGGAUUACUAAUGGCGCAUUUGUUGCUGGUGCGCCAUUAGUAAGUGGGCAGCAACAAGAUAUUUUGGACAGCCUCUUCUCCCACACUCACUUUCUCCCCACUUCAUUCUCUCCACCGCCUCCUCCUUGUCUCGGGUGCCUCCUCUUUUUCACCUCAUUUCCAUCAUAGAUUCAUUCAAAUUAAGUGGUUAAGUUACCUUGUUUUGCUAGGUAAGUAAGGGGGGAAGCUAUAUUUAUGUUGUUCUCUCUACAACAAUGUGCACAUGCACUUUUUAUGGCCUAGCUAGAUCUAUGUAUGUUUGUGGUAUUGCAUAUGUGUUUGUGUUUGGAGGUGUACCGGUAUUUGAAAUGCGAUAGUUGCCAAUAUUUUGCCGGAAUGUUGAUUCAUUUCCGUUUCGGCGAGAAUUUUGGCAUUAAGCAUUCUUUUUGGUCCUAUUUUUAGGGAAAGUCAUGCCAAAUUUUUUCUUGGUUCUAAAAUAUUGUUUUGCUCUACCCCGCAGGCGACCAUGGUCCGCACGAUGACCGAAGGCAUCGUGAAUAGGUUUUUGAGGUCCGCGAAGGCCGAGAUGCUUCAAAAGAACGAGACGGAGAUAAGAUGUCCGUGUCGAAGAUGCAAGCUGAAUAGCCUUAUUGCGGACCCGGAUUCCGGGCAGGUGCGGGACCACCUGCUCUUGCGUGGUUUCAUGGAUGGCUAUCGGUGGCAAGGUGAUGAAGAUGACUACGAAGUCGUCCAUGGGGGCCGGGCAAGAAAUGAGAAAGGGCAGCAAGACAACCACCGCGGCUCGGGGGGGCGAGAAGACGAAGAAUCCCCAGGAGAUGAUCACGACGGUGAUGCUGUACACAGUCAUCAUGUAGAAGAUGCAGGACAUGAUGAUGAUGCCGGCGGAGCAGACGACGCUGGACCAUCGAUGGGCUGGGUGCAGGACCCUCAUAUUCAAGAGCUGCUUCUCAAGCAGACGGAUAACGCAAGAGCUGCCGCCCGAGAGAAAGCCAAGAUGGAUCAACUUGAGUUAGACGCGGUUACUCCAUUGUAUGAAGGAUGCAGGCCCGAGGAUACCCGCCUGAAAGUAACGCUCGUGGCUCUGGAGAUGAAGGUAAAACACAAAAUGACCGACGCAUGCUUCGACGAGAACAUGUCAUUCUGGCACGAACGUCUUCCCAAGGGGAACAAGUGCCCGACCAGUUUGGAGGAGGCGAAGAAAAUCGUGUGUCCUCUGGAUUUACCGCACGUGAAAUACCAUGUGUGCAUGAACAAUUGCAUCAUUUAUCGGGACGAGCACGCGGAGUCUACCAUAUGUCCGGUGUGCGGUGUCACUCGAUACAAGAAGAGGAAGAAAGCUCCUCGAAAAGUGGUGUGGUACUUUCCGAUCACUCCUCGUCUGCAGCGGUAUUUCGCGGACCCUAAGGUAGCAAAGCUCCUGCGUUGGCACGCGGAUAGGGAGGAGAAGAAGCAAGAAGAUGACGCAAAUGAUCCGGAGAUAGAUAAAAAAGACAAGAUGCUGAGUCACCCUAAGGAUGCGAGCCAGUGGCAAGCGUUGAACUUCGAAUACCCAGAAUUUGGAAAUGAUCCAAGGAACAUCAUGCUGGGCGCGAGCACCGAUGGAGUCAAUCCGUUUGGCAGUCAGAGAAGCACACAUAGCACCUGGCCUGUGUUCGUGUGGAUGUACAACCUUCCCCCCUGGUUGUGCAUGAAGAGGAAGUACAUUCACAUGAGUAUGCUAAUUGAAGGGCCGAAACAACCAGGGAACGACAUCAAUCUGUAUCUGGGGCUGCUGAAAGAGGAGAUUGACACGCUGUGGAAAACGCCAGCCAAUACGUGGGACGCCGCAGAGAAAGAAUAUUUCCCUAUGAGAGCCGCAUUGCUCACGACGGUGCACGACUAUCUCGGUUACGGAUAUCUUGCGGGGCAGGUAGUCCAUGGAUUUUCUGGAUGCGUAAGGUGCAUGGAUGACACAACGUAUCGCCAGCUAGAUAGAGAUCCCGAGUCUUCAAAAACCAUGUUCAUGGGACAUCGAAGGUGGCUUCGCGACGAUGACCCGUGGAGGAAACGCAAGGAUCUGUUCGAUGGUGAAACCGAACCCCGAAAACGCCCGUGUACGAGGAGCGGCGAGGAAAUAGACAAGCUGUUGAAAAAUUGGAAAGACUGCCCACUGCCGGGAAAGAAGCAAAAGGCGCCAGAGCCGCUGCUGAAGGUAUGGAAAACGAGGUCUAUUUUCUGGGACUUGCCGUACUGAAAGAUCCACUGUGUGCCUCACAGCCUUGAUGUCAUGCAUAUCACGAAGAACGUGUGCGAGAGUCUGCUUGGUACCCUGCUCAACAUGCCAGAGAGGACCAAAGAUGGGCCGAAAGCAAGGGCAGACUUGAAAUCAAUGGGCAUCAGGCAGGAGCUUCACGCUAUAUAUGAUGAUGAUGAUGAUGAUGAUGAUGAGGCGAAGCAGGACACAGAAAGUCGUCGCAAAGGCAAAAAGGCCAAGAAGACCGGAAAUGACUACCCUCCCGCGUGCUUCACUCUAAGUCAGGAGGAGAUCGAGCAGUUUUUCAGGGCCCGGUACAAGAAGGACCCGAAAACAAAGGAGCUUACCACGGAUCCGAAGACCAGGCAGCUUGAGCUUGUUCUGGUAAGGAAUACACCCCCGCGUAAUUAGCUCCAUAUGGUUGCAUUCUAAUUAAUGAAGCCAAAUUUCUAAAUGGUUCACAUUCCUUCCGCAGGCGACUGAAAGCAGUAGCGCGGGGUCGACUAAGAGCAACCCUUGGGACACCACUCUAAAUAGGGGGUUGAAUGUAAUGAAGAACAAGGAUAAGCUCAGUAAGCCGACGCCAGCUGGUCGUGUGGCCGGCAAAGGCUUGUCGACAAAAUGGGGGUCAUACUAUACCGCUGGUGUGCGGAAGGAGAAAAAGACCAGCUCGGAAAGCCAGGCGCGAGAGGUUCAAGAACUCAAGGCACAGGUGGCGCGGAUUCCGGAGAUUGUCCAAGAGCAAGUGGAACAACGACUCGGAGCGACGAUCACCGCCCUUGUGCCUACCUUGAUCUCGGGGUUGAGUGCGUGGAUUGCGGGCGGCCAACAGGGGCCGCCCCCGAUUCCUAGCUUCACGGCCAGCAACUCGCAUAAUGCGAUGGCAGGGCCAUUGGUGCCUCCGGCGGAGGCGGCAUUGGUGUCUCCGACGCCGACACGGGAGCUUAAUGCACCCGGGUGUACGCCGGCCGGCACCUCUUCAGCAAGCGGCCCCUCCGUCAACUGCACGCCCGCCGUUGGCGGUGCCUCGACAUUAGUCGAGCUCGACGCCAUCAUCACGGUAACUAAUUAAACCUCUCUCGGCCGAGGACUUCAUCUCCUUGCCUUUGAUUGGGCAUCCCUCAUGCCCUACAUGUUUUCGCAGGGCGCCGCCGACGUUCCGUGCACUCUCCUCCACUUCGUGAACAACGAGUUGGUCGAUGUCGCCAAGGGCAAAAUCAUUCAAUCGGGCAACCCCUUGUUCCACGGUACCCAGAUGCCACCCAACUUGUUUAGGGUUCAACUGGUUCGGGUGCUGCCAGGCUGCGACGACUUGUUACCUCCGAUUCGACCCGUCGGGGCCGACGAUGAAGACGUGAUGACCCUCAGCGCCUGCCUGAGCUGGCCCCUGCUUUGGCCGAAGAGCCAGAUUCGUUUGGGGGUGGGGGACACCACCCCAAAGACAACACCGCCAGUCGUGCCGGUGCCAAGUCGGCCCCAUGGCAAGACCGCCGUAACGGUGCCGGACAUCCCUAUGCCACUGGAUCCAAACAUGCAUAUGGCACAGGAUCAGAACGACGACGACGACGAUGAUGAUACAUUUGGCAAUGUCGAUCAGUACUUUGCCGAGCAUGGGUACGAUGGCGACUUCAUGGGGCCUCCUUCUCAAGAACCAAACCCAACAAAAGACGUGUGCGAUCUAGCUCGUACCGCGGAGAAGCCAAGUUGCAACAGGCGCCGUCUGGCGUUCAGCUCUCAGGAGACGCCUCCAGCUGCCGACUUCACCGAGCCUCGGAUAGGCGAGGUGCGAAAUAUUAUCAGCCCCAACACACUCAAGAAGGCGGUCUGUGAGCAGAACUCGGUCCCAUUACAGGAGAAGAAGAUGGCACGCAAAAGAAAGACUAAGAAGGGUGCGAGCCAGCCGGCACCGAGUACGAUCCGUGCUCAGGACGGGCCACCUUCACCGCAGGAUAUCUCGAGGAGGGUGCAUGUGGCGGGUAGGGCGAUGCUACCGACGAAUAUGCUCAAUGCUGCAACCGGUGCUAUGCGGAGUCUGCAUGACAGUGUUCUUGCUUUGGAGAAGCGGCGUCUCAGAGAGAAGGAUGUGGCAUACCCGGUUUUCGCGGCCAAGGUGCCAGAGGGCAAGGGAUUUGUGGAUAACUCCAUCGGGCGUACGAUCGUCCUGCGUUUUGAUGACAUCCACGCUAUGUUGAACCUUCAUCCGCUGCACUACACCUUCGUUCGGCUAUUUUCGCUGAGUAUGGAGAUGCGGAUCAUUCGUGACAAGACCCCGGACAUCGUGAUAGUCGACCCCUUCUACAUGCGUGCCAAGAUCUUGGGCAGCACUGGGGACCGGCAAGUCGCGAGUUCUUACCUCGAAGGCGUCAUUCUAGCAAACCAAGAUAAGGAUAACUUCCUCGUGCCUUACUUUCCCGAGUAAGUCCUCCCCUCAACCGGCCCGUAACAUAUGAAUUCUUACAUUUCGAUCGUUUUUCUUUUAACAUUCCGUGUUUUCUGCAGUGACACACGUUGCACGCUCAUCCUCCUAAGCCCCAAAUAUUCCAUGGCCACGUAUUUCGACCCGGACCAUCAGUCGAAUGUAGACUACACAAAUGUCAAGAAGGUUCUUGAUGAUGUUCUCCCCGGCUACGCCCAAUCUGGAGGCACCUUCACCAGGCCUAUUCGUAAGUACGGCAAGCACGUGUUCUCCCACAAUACGAUGUUCUGCUACGUCAAGCAGCCGCCUGGCGGUCAGAAGGGUGCCUACUACGCCAUCCAUCACAUGCGGGCGAUCGUACGGGACCAUCAUCAACUUCUGCUACCGAGUAAACUCAAAGAUUGGGCCGCGAGCGUGUCGACAAUCCAGGACGCGGACCUCCGACAAGAAUUCUUUCGCAUCCAGUCGGAGUUUGCGGAAAUCAUCCAUCAAGAUGUCCUUCGUACCUCGGGGCAGUUCUACCUCAGAAAUUAACCGUCCAACAGUGACAUCGACACAAUGCUACAAAUGCAGGAUGACAACGCCCGUUCUUUCAUGACUCCCACGAUAGACGGCGGCUUCAUCCACGCUCCGGUCCCUUGAGUCGAGUUGUCUAGUUCUGAAACAUCGAUUGGCUCAUGUUGUAAUUAAACUUUAAUGAACUUGUAGUAUGUCUCUUUGGUUUCGAGAGUCGUUCAACUUAGAUGUAAUCGAUGCUAUUAAUGUCUUGCUUUUCUCUUCCGAUCGUUCUGUUGCAUACUUAUAUAUUGCUUAUGUAUUGUCUGUGAAUUGGUACUAACGUUUCGUUUGGCUAGUGCAUAGCGAUGCCGACGUAUGUCGUGUACAAGAGUAAGGUUCCCGGAGUCUACGAUGACUGGGAGGAGUGUCGGAGACAGGUUCACCGAUUCAGCGGUAACAGUUACAAAGGGUACACCACUAGGGCCGAGGCCGAAUCUAGAUACGCCCGCUAUCUAGCGGGAGAGGGGAGGGAGAGUUGGAGGAACCGGAUGAAGACGAGUUUCAUCGUGAUGAUGCUCAUCGUGAUGACCGCAGCUCUCUUCUAUGUGAUGGUAGUUUAGAUGAUCGAUAUCGACUUGUAAUGUGAAGACAGACUCGCUACUCGUGGUCUCGAGACUUGUAAUAUAAUGUUCUAUCUUUGUUCGGUCUUUUCAAUUCGGAGACUAAUAUGAUGAAUUUUAUUCGGAGACUAAUAUGAUGAAUUGUAUUCAAAGACUAAUCUUCUAUUGUAUUUGAUGAAUCUGUUGUUGAUGUGUGCUGUCUAUAUUUUGUCAAAUUAUACAUUUUGUAACCUGUGCAAAAAACAGAAAAUAAAAAAAUAAAAAAAACCUAAUAUUCAUACUAAUGGCGCAUCACAUGACAGUGCGCCAUUAGUAUGACAGUGCAUACUAAUGGCGCAUCACUGGGCAGUGCGCUAUUAGUAUGCCGCGGUUACUAAUGGCGCAUCCAGUGGUGGUGCGCCAUUAGUAUGCCAAAGCACCUGGGUAUACAUGGCCCCUGGGAGGCAUACUAAUGGCGCACCCUGGCCUAUACUAAUGGCGCACCCGAGGUGCGCCAUUAGUAUACCAGAUACUAAUGGCGCACCAGGUGGUGCGCCAUUAGUAAAAAUUACUAAUGGCGUGCUAUUAAUGGCGCAUCACAGAUGCGCCAUUAAUAGCCAUACUAGGUGCGCCAUUAGUAGGGGUUUUUCUAGUAGUGCUCCCAAUAGAUGAACUGGGUUUUGAUGUUGCAGAGCAAUGGCUUCAUGUCUCUAUCACAAAUCUUCCCUUACAUGUUUGGUCAGCAGCGGCUGUAGAGCACAUUCUUAGUCCCUAUUGUGCAAUGGAGCACAUAACAGAUCACACGGAUCAUCGAAUAGACAUCAAAACCUACAGAUGGGCAACAUGGGGUCAGCGUAGAAUUCCUGUACCAAAUUCGAUCCUGCUUUGUAUUCCAAUAACCAAAGCUGAUCCAGGAAUGUGCAUGGAUACACAACCAUACAGAAAGCUUCGUACAUAUCGUCUACAUAUCCACUGCCACCACUACAUCUACAAGAAGGAUGAAGGCGCUACAAACAUGCCAAUCACACAAGUUCCUAGGUAUGAGAAUACAUACAACACCAACGAAGCAGUCUAGUUUCUUCCACCAAAAUUGGUUGAUGAGCAGAUUAUAAAGGAGCUAUCCACAGCGGUUGUCGUCUCAGGCACCUCCAAGCAAGCCGACGCACUGUGGAAAGAUGUAUACUACCUCUACCCAGGUUUAGAUCCGAGGGACGUCAGGAUGGACACAAUGAGCAAAGAUCAGCAGAUCAUUAUACUACCAGACAACACAACAGGUGCAGCAAUCUAAAGCAAAAUUCUAUCAACAGAGCUCACAUGCAUGCCACAUGUCACCCCAUGGAGCCCAGAUAUUGGCUCCAUCAACAGCACACUCAGCACAUGUGCCCAACUCAUGAUCAACAGGAUCCCAGCGCAUUUUUGCACGCAGAAGCUGAUGAAACUUCUUCUUGCAUAGUUCUGCUACAUGGAGAUCCCGGACAAAAAUGUUGAACUACUGCUAACAUGCAAAUCAUAUCGAUGCAUAGUUUGGUGCAACAGCCCGGCUGCGAUUGCAAAGACCCUGCUUGCAAAGUUUGUGGACACAGAGAUAGCCCCCACGAUGGUGCUUCAUCCAGACCCAGAUGUGACUGUAAGGACAGCAAACAUUCUGAUCGACAUACAGCAAACUGCGCCUAUCAUCAAUGACAUGAUCACUGUCUAGGCACUCAAUGAACGCAACCAAAUAGUACUAAUCAUCGGUAUGACCGCUAUCUUUGCUUCUCUGCCUUGUUGAACCUCUAUUUUAUUUGAUCUUCAUAAAUAACUUCCUAACACAUUCAUCACUUACACAGCAACCACGCCAGGACUCUCACAUCAGCGGCAUCUACCCUACGUUCACUUUUGUUACAUCAUCGAAACGAAGCCAUAUCGACGACGCCCACACUCUUCUGCACCUCAUGAAUACCUCUGCGCCAGAUCCAAUCCUCUCACACAAGAGCCUAUGGGACUGUUUCCUCUAUUAUCACUACACACUGCUUUAAGUUACUUAUUUAUAACCUAUGUAAGCUAGACAACCUAUACUUGCUUCCCCUGUUUAUUAAUAAUACAUAUCCUUUCAUCGCCUAGAUGUUUGUCUCGGUUCUCUUUGGGUUAUCAAAUUAAUUUGUGCUUGCCAAGUUUUCUUUUCAACCCAACAAUCUGAUGAUUAUUGUUUUUUAAAACAUUCAUGCAUACAGAGCUAUCAACAAUACACAAACCAUCUUUUGCCUACUAGCUAGAGUGUGAUCUAAGGCAGAAAGCUGAAUUCUUACUAAUUUAAAAAAGUAUUUAUGAAGUAUGAAAAUAUGUACAUCCAGUAAGAAUUCAAUCUUAUGCCUACUAGCUCUAAUUAAACGUUUCAAAACACUUUGAACAAACAAAUACAUACCUUCAUACGCUCAGACUAUCGGUUCCUUAGUCCGUCAGGAACAUCCUACAAAUAGCUCCUUUCAAUUCUUUCCUUUUCAAUCCACUACUCCAGAUCUGACCCUACAAUGACAUUAGAACAGAACUCCAUCAAAUGAAAAGAUAAAUGUUCCCAGCACUGGAAUCGCAUCCUCGGCGAGCUCCUCUCCCAGAGACACGAUGACGAUCUUACCCUUCUUGUACCUCUCCAGCCUCUGACUCAUCCAGCUUCACCGUCAGCUCGAACCCUGACUCGGAAACGCCCAACAUUCCUCCGAUCGUAUCGAUGGCCGCCAGGAGGUAGGAGGUGGUCCUUCUCAUGAGCCACAUCCUCUGUGCGUUCAACCACUCAAAUGUGGUGUCACCACAUUGCAGAGACUCCAUUAGGCUCCAGGAGUAUGCAACUACCAUGAUGGCUGGUUAUCUGGAUGAGUUUGUGAAAGUGCAACUAUCCCUAGGUGGUUUUGGUAAUUCAUAACAACAUAUAGCUCAUUGAGCUAAUGCUAUUCCAAGAUGAUUAUUUCAGGAAAGCUCAAUGAUUGGCAUGGCAUGGAUGGUGAAAGUGGAACCCUCAAAAUGCUAAGGACAAAGGAUUGUCUCAAGCUCAAAAGCUCAAGACUCUUCAUUUUAUAUUUUAGUGAUCCAAGAUCACAUUGAAUCUUUAGGAAAAGCCAAUACUAUCAAGGAGGGAUGAGGUGUUGCUUAAUGAGCCUCUUGCUUCAUGUGCUUAGUGAUAUGCUCCAAAACCCUCAACUACUUUCCCAUAUCCACAUAUGACCUAAACCCUAAGCCAAACUCGGUCCUACCGAUUCUUCCUAUCCGGCGCCACCGAGUUUCACUUGUCAUAAGCCACUGCCAAACCGAGAUGGGAUAGCAAUUCGGUUCUACCGAUAGGGAUCUCGGUCUCACCGAGAUGGGAUUGCAAACUCUCUGUUUCCCUUUCGUAACUUUUUGGUCUCACUGAAAGAGCGGACGGUCCCACCGAGAUUGCAAUGUAAAUUCAGUGUUUCCUUUUUGUAACUUUUCGGUCUCACCGAAAGAGCAAAUCGGUCCCACCGAGUUUGCCUGACCAACUCUCUGGUUAGCUAAUUACCAAAUUCGGUCUCACCGAGUUUGUGUAAUCGGUCUCACCGAGCUUACGUUAUGCCCAAACCCUAACCAUAUCGGUCCUACCGAGUUGCAUGUCAGUCCCACCGAAAAUCUCUAACGGUCACUAGGUUUACAUUUUCGGUCCGACCGAGUUUGUUGAUUCGGUCCCACCGAGAUUGGAAAACUGUGUGUAACGGUUGGAUUUUGUGUGGAGGCUAUAUAUACCCCUCCACCUCCUCUUCAUUCGUGGAGAGAGCCAUCAGAACACAUACACAAUUCCAACUCAUAUGUUCUGAGAGAGAACCACCUACUCAUGUGUUGAGACCAAGAUAUUCCAUUCCUACCAUAUGAAUCUUGAUCUCUAGCCUUCCCCAAGUUGCUUUCCACUCAAAUAUUCUUUCCACAAAAUCCAAAUCCUAUGAGAGAGAGUUGAGUGUUGGGUAGACUAUCAUUUGAAGCACAAGAGCAAGGAGUUCAUUACCUACACACCAUUUGUUACUUCUUGGAGAGUGGUGUCUCCUAGAUUGGCUAGGUGUCACUUGGGAGCCUCCGACAAGAUUGUGGAGUUGAACCAAGGAGUUUGUAAGGGCAAGGAGGUCACCUACUUCGUGAAGAUCUACCGCUAGUGAGGCAAGUCCUUUGUGGGCGAUGGCCAUGGUGGGAUAGACAAGGUUGCUUCUUCGUGGACCCUUUGUGGGUGGUUGCUUCUUCGUGGACCCUUCGUGGGUGGAGCCCUUCGUGGACUCGCGCAACCGUUACCCUUUAUUGGUGGAGCCCUCCGUGGACUCGCGCAACCGUUACCCUUUGUGGGUUGAAGUCUCCAUCAACGUGGAUGUAGGAUAGCACCACCUAUCCAAACCACGGGAAAAACAUCCGUGUCUCCAAUUGCGUUUGAAUUCUCCAAACCCUUCCCUUUACAUUCUUGCAAGUUGCAUGCUUUACUUUCCGCUGGCAAUAUACUCUUUGCAUGCUUGCUUGAUUGUGUGAUGAUUGCUUGACUUGUCCUACAAUAGCUAAAAUCUGCCAAGAACUAGAAUUGGGAAAAGGUUAAGUUUUUAUUUGGUCAAGUAGUCUAAUCAUCCCCCCUCUAGACAUACUUUCGAUCCUACAAGUGGUAUCAGAGCCAGGUUUCCAUUUGCUUUGAUCUCCAUAGCUUUUGGUGGUCAUAGCCUUGGUUUCACAACCUAGGAGAGUAUGGCGUCUAGCAAGGGAAAUUAUCACCGUAGAGGUCCGUACUUUGAUGGUACUAAUUUUGCUAGUUGGAAGCAUAAAAUGAAAAUGCAUAUUCUUGGACAUAACCCCGCUGUUUGGGCUAUUGUGUGUGUUGGUUUGCAAGGUGACUUCUUUGAUGGGAAAGAACCAAACCGUGAAGCUACCGCGGAUGAGUUGAAGAUGUUGCAAUACAAUGCUCAAGCUUGUGAUAUUCUCUUCAACGGAUUGUGCCCCGAAGAAUUCAACAAAAUCAGCCGUCUUGAGAAUGCAAAGGAAAUUUGGGACACUUUGAUUGAUAUGCACGAAGGUACCGACUCCGUCAAGGAAUCCAAGUUGGAUGUGCUUCAAAGUCAACUUGACAAGUUCAAAAUGAAGGAUGGUGAAGGUGUCGCUGAAAUGUACUCUAGGCUUGCUCUCAUCACAAAUGAGAUUGCCGGCUUAGGAAGUGAAGAGAUGACCGAUAGAUUCAUCAUCAAGAAGAUUUUAAGAGCCUUGGAUGGAAAAUAUGAUACCGUGUGCACAUUGAUUCAAAUGAUGCCCAAUUACAAAGAUCUUAAGCCAACAGAGGUGAUUGGAAGAAUUGUUGCUCAUGAGAUGUCACUUAAGGAUAAAGAGGAACUUCACAACAAAUCAAGUGGUGCCUACAAAGCCUCAUAUGAAGCCCCUACAUCAUCAAGUGAGAAACAAGACUUCAAUGAAGAAUUGAGCUUAAUGGUGAAGAACUUCAACAAGUUCUACAAGAGUAGAAGCAAAGAUAGAAGCUCCUAAGACCUUAGUCAAGUGGAUUCCCAAGACUACUUCAAGUUCCACUUCAUCAAGUACGACUACAACUCCAAGGAUUCCCAUCAAGAUGGUGUGGAUCCAACAGAAGAAGAACUAGAGAGUUCUUGGGGGUGACUCCGCCAACAUACUUCACUCUUAUCAUUUUGGCAAGAACAAGUGCAAUCAACUUCCACAUCUUGCACUAGUUCAAGGAGUCACAAACCCUCUUGUUGGUAAGACAAGGGACAAGGUAACCUAAAAGUUUUCAUGGACAUCAUCUUGUGUGUGCAUCACUCUAUGUCUAUGGAUAUCCUUGUUUGUUCCUUGUGGGACUAACCCAUGUAGGUAUUGAAAGUGCAAUUCACUCAAAUGGAUAGCUCCAAGUGAUCUACAUCAACAUUGAGCAUCCACAUCUUCAACAUCUACAUGAAAUCAUCAUUGACAAAACUCGAGGUUAGUUCAUCCCUCUAAGGGGGGAUAUCACAUCUAGGGGGAGCUUUACUCUAAGGCUUGAGCUAAAGCAACUCUAAAGAUGUGAACACAACAAUGCUUUAUGUAAAAGUGGUAACCCCACUUGAGCUUAAACGAUGAGUAUGACCUAUGAUCAAGUGUUCUCACUUGACUCCUAAGUCAAUAUACUCAUAUAUAGAUGACCUUGUCAUCGCAAAUUGCUUGAUAGAUGCUAGUAUUGGUUGUGCAUGCCUUGUCACAUAUUUCGUUUGCCAUCUUAUUGUGUGAGCAUGCUGGUUGCAUAUUUUACUCAUUCGAGGACAUCCACUUGUUGUUUUGAUUGUUCGGUUUUAUUUUCUUUUGCCAAGUGGAUGGACAAGAAUGCCUAAGAACCUCCUCUAGCUAUCUAUGAUUUUCUCGUCUCAAACUCUAUUCAUGCUACAUCACAAAAUUUGAUCAAGUCAGAUUCGAACCACUCUGUGUGAGGAGCGCUCGGAGUCCCCAAUUCGUCAUAGACUUAAACUUCCAAAACCUCUUUAUGAUUCUCGGUCUGACCGAUACCCCACUUUCGGUCCUACCGAGAUCAUUAAGUUGAUAUAGGUUUUCAAUCUCGGUGCAACCGAUUUGAACCUUUCGGUCACACCGAGUUUCAGUAACUGCUUGCAGUUAUGAAUCUCGGUGCCACCGAGUUGUUCCACUCGGUCACACCGACAGGGUCGGGCUAUAUAUAGUCACGGGCAAAAAUUUGGAAAUUUCUCCGAACCCCUUCGCCCGCGCGAUAGCCUGCUCUGCCAACUUGGUCUCCGGAUCGUCUCCUUGCCGCCAGCCGCCUCCAGUCGCCGGUCUCCAUCGCCGUCAACGGAAUUCUAUCCCGCCGUUGCCUCCGUAGCGAGUCUCCGCCAAACUAGGGUAUGGACUCGAUCUUUGUGCUGUUCUCCAAUCCGAUUCUUAGCACAUUGUGAUCAUCAUGAUUCUUGCCACGAUUGAAACACUCCUAUCCAGUCAAUGCGCUCGUAGAUUAGGUUUGAUUCGAAGAUUUUAGGGUUAGGUUUCCGCCGAAACCAUCUCAGACCCACCGAGUUGAAAAACUCGGUCCCACCGAUUUGGCUUAUGCCAUGGCACAAGUGAAACUCGGUCUGACCAAGAAUUACUUAUCGGUGUGACCGAUUUUGGAACUCUGUGAAACCCUAGCAGUCUUGGUGCCACCGAACUGUGACUCGGUCUGACCGAGUUCACUAGUUUAGGUGCCAAAACUGCUUUGGUAUCACCGAGUUUAAAAAUCGGUAGAUUCGAGAUGAUUUCAGUGGGAAACUAAAACUAAGUUUUUGGAUCAUUCUUUUGCAAAAAUCUCUGCAUUUUGUGAUGCUCAUCUAUUCUACCUCAUCUAUAAACUAUUCAUAGAGUCAGCAGACAGCUUGUUCAUCAUGUCAGAUCAGAGUGACAGCCAGAAUGUGUCAGAACAGCAAGUGCACAUGAGUGAGGGCACUAGUCUCUCCAGCUCUUCAGAUGAUGGCAGCAGGAGUACCCCAAGCAAUCUGCCUAAAGCUGCCACCAGACAGAGGAAGAAGAGAACUUCAGAUUCUGAGGAUGAAGAUUAUGUGGGAGAAGAGGAAGCAACUUCAAAGAGAGUUGAGUCAGCUCAAGGCACAAAGCCAGGGUUGAAAGUCAAGAGGCCAGCAGGCAGGCAGCCUAUGUCAAAGGCCAGAGCUUCAACUAAGAAGCCCACUGCCAAAGAGCCAGUUGCUGCUGAAGGCAAGAAAAGGAAGGAAAGGGUCAAGAAGACCGUAGCCAGAGUGCUUGGAAACGCUUCCAUCAUGGAAGAAGAGGAAGAAGAAGAGGUUGCUGCACCAGCACCUAAGACACCUAAGCUUAUGGGUGAUGCUAUAAGAUCAGGGGCUGCCACAUCUAAGCCCAAAGAAGCACCCAAAGCUGCCUCCAAGCCCAAGUCUGCACCAAAGAGGAAUACAAGAAGCAUACCUGCUGCUGAGAAGAACAAGGCCCCAGUGCCUGAAGCUGUAGAAGAAGAUGAUGAAGAGCAAGUUCUCAGAAAACUCAAGCCCAAGAUCCCAGACCACAACGAUGCUCAUCAUGUGGCUGAGGACAUGAAGCUCAGGAGAGACUCAGGGCUGAGGAAGUGGAGAGAAGCAGACCCGUAUGCUUCAAGGAGGAGGACUGCUGUGGAUUACAGAUUUCACACCAAGGAACAGCAAGAUUUCUAUGAGAUAGUGCUGCUUGAUAAGAAGCCAAUAGUCUGUGAUAUGAGAUGGGUUGACUGGCAAUACAUCAAGGACAACGAAGAGUACUACCCUGGAGUGCAGGGCAGCUUCAAGGCAUGUGGAGUAGAGGACUUUGUUGGGCAGAAGCUCACAAAGUGGAACGAGGAGCUUAUCAUGCAGUUCUACUCCACAACACAUUUUUAUCCAGAUGGAAGGAUCACAUGGAUGUCUGAGGGUACGAGAUACCAAUCUACUGUUGAAGAAUGGGCUAAGUUGAUAAAUGCCCCAGAGGAGCAUGAGGAUGACUUGGAUAUCUAUGCCAAGAAGAAGAUGGACCACAACUCUAUGUCCAACAUGUACAAGGAAAUUCCAAACGAGGCACUUGACACUUUCAAGUUUGGGUCUGUGCACUAUCUUCUGUCAGGGCUGCCAACCAUCAAUUGGAUAUUGAGGCACACCUUAUUGCCCAAGUCUGGAGAUCACACGAUGAUCAGAGGCCAUGCAAUCAACUUGCUACAUAUCUUUGAUGUGCCACAGAAGUUCAAGGUGAUGAGCCUCAUGGUAGAGACAAUCAAGAGGACAGCAGCAGACCAGAAGAGGAGCUGUGGAUAUGCCCCACAAAUUCAGGAGCUCAUUAACUCCAAGAUGGGCACGAGCAUAUACUUAUUGGACAAGGAACACUUGCCCAUCCGUCUAGAUUUUGAAGAUAAUCAAGUUGUCAUGACUGAGAAUGAACCAUCGUCUGCACAAGCACAAGCAAAGAAGGAGAAGGCAAGGAAGGAGAAAGCUGCCAAGAUGCCAACUCAAGAGGAGGCAUUUGAGUAUUUCCUGAAAACCAAACAAGAGCAGCUUGGUUACCUGAUUGUAUCCACCCUGCGGAUUGAGAAAGGACUAGCCACCCUAACUCAGAACCAGGCAAGCCUAGAGAGAAUCAUGGAACAAAAGUUCUAUGACUUGGAUGUCAAGGUGACAGAGAUUCAGACUGCAGUGGAGCAGCUCCAAGAUGAUAUGCAGGAGAGGAAAGGGAAGACAACCACUGAUGCCUUUGCCAGAGUGCCACGAGGUCCGAGGUCAUCUGCAGUGCCAGUUCCUGCCACAAGAGCAACUGCCUCAGCUCCAGCCAUAGCACCAGCCCAACCUGCUCCAACGUCUACUUCAGCUCCAACUCCAGCGUCUACUUCAGCGUCUAUAGAAGCCUUCGUCCUUGGAGUGCUCCGGACUCCACCACCAUCAGAAGAUCAAGCCUGAGCGUCGAUCUAGCACUAUGCAUUUUCUAGGAACUUUUUGGUAACUUGUUGCCAAAGGGGGAGAAAAAUGUAUAGAUCAUAGGCUUCGAGAGAGAGUGUGUUGCUUUUUUCUCUCUUGCUUUAUUUGGUGGUUCUUCGAACUUUGUUUGCUUUUGAGUGCUUGAGAUACUACGUCAUUAUCUGUGAGACAUUGAUGAUCGUGUGUUUGAUCAUAAGCUACACUUAAUGUUUGCUUAAUGCUAUUAUCUUAUCUAUCUUAUGUGAUCAUUCACUAUUCUUGGUGAUGAGUGCAUGUAUUUCAUUCUUAUCAUUUUAAGCGCUCCACCAAGAUGUAUGUGACAUGAAAGAGUAACCCGUGACUCUAACUCUUUGUGCAUUUGCAGUCCAAAGCAAAUUUUAAAUAUGCACAAAUUUAGGGGGAGCUCUUACUUAUCACAUACUUCUCAAAGCGACGAUAUAUUCCAUACUUAUUAUCAUUUGUCGAAGCUUUGAUCUAUAUGUUGUCAUCAAUUACCAAAAAGGGGGAGAUUGAAAGUGCAACUAUCCCUAGGUGGUUUUGGUAAUUCAUAACAACAUAUAGCUCAUUGAGCUAAUGCUAUUCCAAGAUGAUUAUUUCAGGAAAGCUCAAUGAUUGGCAUGGCAUGGAUGGUGAAAGUGGAACCCUCAAAAUGCUAAGGACAAAGGAUUGGCUCAAGCUCAAAAGCUCAAGACUCUUCAUUUUAUAUUUUAGUGAUCCAAGAUCACAUUGAGUCUUUAGGAAAAGCCAAUACUAUCAAGGAGGGAUGAGGUGUUGCUUAAUGAGCCUCUUGCUUCAUGUGCUUAGUGAUAUGCUCCAAAACCCUCAACUACUUUCCCAUAUCCACAUAUGACCUAAACCCUAAGCCAAACUCGGUCCUACCGAUUCUUCCCAUCCGGCGCCACCGAGUUUCACUUGUCAUAAGCCACUGCCAAACCCUAGCAAUUCGGUUCUACCGAUAGGGAUCUCGGUCUCACCGAGAUGGGAUUGCAAACUCUCUGUUUCCCUUUUGUAACUUUUCGGUCUCACUGAAAGAGCGGACGGUCCCACCGAGAUUGCAAUGUAAUUCAGUGUUUCCUUUUUGUAACUUUUCAGUCUCACCGAAAGAGCAAAUCGGUCCCACCGAGUUUGCCUGACCAACUCUCUGGUUAGCUAAUUACCAAAUUCGGUCUCACCGAGUUUGUGUAAUCGGUCUCACUGAGAUUACGUUAUGCCCAAACCCUAACCAUAUCGGUCCUACCGAGUUGCAUGUCAGUCCCACCGAAAAUCUCUAACGGUCACUAGGUUUACAUUUUCGGUCCGACCGAGUUUGUUGAUUCGGUCCCACCGAGAUUGGAAAACUGUGUGUAACGGUUGGAUUUUGUGUGGAGGCUAUAUAUACCCCUCCACCUCCUCUUCAUUCGUGGAGAGAGCCAUCAGAACACAUACACAAUUCCAACUCAUAUGUUCUGAGAGAAAACCACCUACUCAUGUGUUGAGACCAAGAUAUUCCAUUCCUACCAUAUGAAUCUUGAUCUCUAGCCUUCCCCAAGUUGCUUUCCACUCAAAUCUUCUUUCCACAAAAUGCAAAUCCUAUGAGAGAGAGUUGAGUGUUGGGUAUACUAUCAUUUGAAGCACAAGAGCAAGGAGUUCAUUACCUACACACCAUUUGUUACUUCUUGGAGAGUGGUGUCUCCUAGAUUGGCUAGGUGUCACUUGGGAGCCUCCGACAAGAUUGUGGAGUUGAACCAAGGAGUUUGUAAGGGCAAGGAGAUCGCCUACUUCGUGAAGAUCUACCGCUAGUGAGGCAAGUCCUUUGUGGGCGAUGGCCAUGGUGGGAUAGACAAGGUUGCUUCUUCGUGGACACUUUGUGGGUGGUUGCUUCUUCGUGGACCCUUCGUGGGUGGAGCCCUUCGUGGACUCGCGCAACCAUUACCCUUUAUGGGUGGAGCCCUCCGUGGACUCGCGCAACCGUUACCCUUUGUGGGUUGAAGUCUCCAUCAACGUGGAUGUAGGAUAGCACCACCUAUCUGAACCACGGGAAAAACAUCCGUGUCUCCAAUUGCGUUUGAAUUCUCCAAACCCUUCCCUUUACAUUCUUGCAAGUUGCAUGCUUUACUUUCCGCUGCCAAUAUACUCUUUGCAUGCUUGCUUGAAUUGUGUGAUGAUUGCUUGACUUGUCCUACAAUAGCUAAAAUCUGCCAAGAACUAAAAUUGGGAAAAGGUUAAGUUUUUAUUUGGUCAAGUAGUCUAAUCACCCCCCCUCUAGACAUACUUUCGAUCCUACAGUUUGCACAUCCAAGUAUCGUGUGAGAACUGAAUUGCGGUGCAUAAAAAUGAGCUAUGGAACACAGUGUAGAAUGUUAGUCAUUACCUCAGGAAAAACAGAGACGCCACUGAGGAAGCAAAGUGAAGGAAUGAUGACAUAGUUAUCAUAUUAUUUAAAAUUGAAAAUCAAUUACCAUGUACUUCAUCUAAUAGUCAGACUCUGACUAAACUACCAUUUUACCUGGACUACUGAAGGGUGAUCUCCAGAAGUUAUCGUCUCAUUCCAUUCAGAGAAGCCUCUGCAAUUGCAUUCUGGAAUCUCAGGAAUCUUGGCUGAAUGUACUACUGAGUUCACGUGGUUUGUCAGAUCCUUGUACAACUCCUGCAAUUCAGAAAAGAGGGGAAAACUAAUAAGAAAAUAAUGUGUUGGCUUACACAGCCUUACACAGCACAGAUGGAAGGCCAGCAGGCCCUUACACCACUAAAUAUUGUAUCAGAUUAUAGCGCGACAUUAUUUGUUUUGAGAUAAGCUACAUUCCAUCAGGAUAAAUGCAGAACAGUUUGUGCUCUACCCUCAUGCGGAGCAGUUCUUGAGGGCUACAAGCAUCAUCAGCCUUGGUCAAGGCCAUGACCUCACCUUCAACUCCCAAAUCCCACACUAGCACCCAAAGGGGACUCCAAACCAUUCCUCGGCCAUCACGACAAACUCGAUCUGCUCUGCACGUGACGGCCUAAUAACCAAUUGCAUCUACCAUUCACAUAAGAGACAUUUAACAACUCUUUUUCAUAACCUCCAAUCAUAGAACCAAUUCACAUCCAUCAUCAUCAAGUUGAAACAGGAAUUACAUGUGCAUCUCAUAAACACACUUGCUAAAGUUCUAGAGACCAGACUAAACAAGGACAGCUAAUUUUCGCUUCAAUUAUUCAGUCUCAGAAUCUACAAUUCACCAUGCCUAUACACAAUGACGCCACCCACAGCACACUAACCAAAAAAAUUAAAAUUCAUCAACACCUAUACAUACACUUACCUAAUUUCGCACUGCAGAUCACUCAAUCAGCAACUAUAACAGCCGCCGCCGCUACCCUGCUUCUCUUCCUCUCCUUUUCUCCAGGAGUCCAACCCCACUUCUUUCUUUGCUCCGCCGUCCGUGCCCGUCCCAUCAUCAUCUCCCUUCCCGAGCUCCACCUAAGGAACGCCAGGUGCCUCUUGGCAGGAGAGGGGUGAUGAAAAAUCUCCGCACUCUCUCGAUCUCACGGGGCAAUGGGCUCCUGUUCGCGCCGCCAUGUUGUCGGCAUGGAUGCCCGGGCUCGCACAGCCGCGGCGGCCUCGGUUCUUUCCUUUCCUCUUAGGCUCCAACACCACGCCCUUCCCUCCUACUCCGCCACCACUGUUUUCUCGCCCAAAUCCACUGCCUGCCGCCGUCCGUCUCAUUCAGAGCUUGGUCAACACACUGCUGAGCUCUUUUUCCACAACAAUAUAACCCUCAUAAAAACUGGCCCACUCGGUCCUUCCAGCUGAGGUCCAAAAAUACCAUCCUCCUGGCCCAUGCCAAAUGCUCAGCCCAACUGUGUUUUCAUAGCCAAAGCCCAAAACUGGCUCUACCGAUUCCACACGCCCGCAACUGGGUAAAUACCCCAACUUACGUGUCCAUCUACCACACCCGUCCACAUUUCUCCACACUCUUGACCAUAGCCCUCUAGGGUUUCCUUCUGCCGCCAUGCGCGGCUGCGAGAGAUGCAUGUUGUACAAGAAGCACCUCGCGGAGGUGCACGGUUACACAAAGACCGCGACCUCGGCAACCACCUCGGCGAAACUCCGCCGCCACCAGAUCCGCAAGAAAAGAGCCCACCGGCGCCGCCAAAAUGCUCUGGCUGCGCCUGUCGCCCUCAAUGACGCCGUCAACCAUCAGGUCUAAUUCCGUUCGGCUCCUCGUACAGUAGAAACUAGAAAGCUCAAAACUUCUAUUUUUGUCGAUCGAUGGAUGUCGUCGUCGGUUCGAGUGCUUGUAUACAGGACAUGAUGUAUGUACCUUAAUAUUGUUCAACUUGCAGCCAGAUUGCUAAUUUACUCCAAAAUUAUCAAGCACGAAUAGAGGGAGGGCUCUCAAAUUUGUAUCGGUGACUUCUGGUUUGCUUGCUUGUUAAGUUUCUCCUUGUAUCACACGCAAAAAAAAAUUAGAAUAAGAAGACCCUCCUUGUAUGAUUAGGCGCUUCUUGACUUAAUUCAACGGCCCGUGUUUUCUCCGUCAUUCAAACAAACGCUAGAAUACUUGAAUCCCCAUUUAGCAUGCCACCUGAAUCCUCAAUCGUGUAAUCUAUACAAUGUUAAUAGUAGGCAUAUUUUAGCCUUCCAAAACUUGUCAACAAGUGUGUACUUUAACAUACAAUUUUUUUAACAGAAACAUACAAGUUGUUGUGAGACUAGCCUGGAUAGCAAGAGCAUGCUGACACUCGACCCAUGAUGAUCUCCAGGACGUGGCAUCGAUAGUUACUUUUUAUACCAAUGUAGUAGUACAAGAGCAUAUACAUUACCAAAUUAUAAAAUGUGCUUCGCACGAAAUAUCUCAUCAUUUCAGUUUGAUUAGCUAAACUUAAUAUUUUUUCUCAAUAUUCACUAAAGGUUCAGAUGCAAAGAUUAUAUUGUUUUCUUACAAGUAUGGCAAAAUUCCCUAGUUCAAUCGCUUGACUCGUAUGACUAGAUAAGUGUUUCCUCCUCCCCUGGCCGCCAUAGAAGACCCAUAACGUACCUCACUAGCUUGCACAAGUUUUAUAAGCAACACAACACUUUUAAGAUUCAUCGCUCCGCAACAAAACAUUUUUAAGAUUCAUCGCUCCCGCAUCCCGUUUUACUCCUCUUUCGUAGAUAGAUCACAUUUCAUAAUUCUAACUGUGUUUUAUGAUUUGAUGAAUAGACUCAAGAGAAUGAGAAUGAGCAGCAAGAGUACAUCAUUCACGGUGAGCACUAACCUAUUUCUUUAUUUUCAAUAUGUUAAACAUCAAGCUCACAGCUACAUAACAAAGCAUGUGUCUGUCUAUUUCUUUAUCAACCGCCUUCAUUUACUAACUACAUCUGUUAGAUUCAUAUUUAUAUCCUUUCCUACUGAUUGGUCUCACGAUAGUUCUGUCAUAAAGUUGUGAAUCACACUGCUCUAUUCUACUCUUGCUCGCUCAAUGUUUGUUUUCUUUUGUAGUCAUUAGCUUCACCAUGUCACACAAUGCUAAUCUGAAUUUGAUGCUUUCUCUAUUUUACAAACUGCUUUCACCAUAUGCUAUAUUUUACAACUUCACUUCUCUUAUUUUAAAAAUUAAUCUUUAGUUUCAUUAUAUGACAUCAUGUCUAAAAGCCUGUUUGGAUGGCUGCCAAAGACUACCCUUCCAAAAUUCUCACCAUUCACCACGGCGUGGCCAGAUUAAGCAGUGCUAAGGUAUAUAUAAUGCUUUUGUGUCCCAUCUUCCAGUGUAUUGAUGGGAGUUUGGGUAACCGAUCGACCGAUGUUGGCCUCAAGGUCAAGGCUGUAAUACUUCCUGGAGUUGUGCCCAUAAGGAGGAUUUAUAUUUAUAUAUGAUAAUCAUAGGAACAAUCAGACUGCAUUUGUGUUUUUCUUCUUCUUCUGUUCAUGCUAUCCUUGGUGUUCAUAUGUAUUAUUAUGCUUCUCAAUUGGAAGCUUUUUUCUCCUCUUCCUGUGAAAAAACAAAGAGUGAGGCUAUGUCAUUCCAUAGCAUAUAUAUAAUUUACAUUUCCACUACCAGUAAACCAUGUUGUUGUCAAUCUCUAAUGUGUAGAGUUGACAGAGAAGAUUCAGUGUUGUGAUGGUGACACUUUCCUUGAAUAAUGUUGGAACUGCAUGGUCCUACUCCUUCUGGUGAAAGCAUUUUUAGGACCUUCAAUGAGUUCUUCACUUUUUUUCUGUUACCAAUGCUGAGAUUGAGUGGGUUUAACUGAUAUUUGAAAAAUGAUCUUGAUAUAGUGAGUUUAACUGGUAUUUGAAAAGUUCGAAGGGUUUACGGCUUCAUGCACAACAUGCAUUUUAUUGCUGUGGUACAACCUGGGCUCAAAACAUCAUUUUCUGUCUAAUGAUUCAGUUAAACCUCUUUUUUUAGUCUACUCUCUUAACCUCAUUUCUUUAAACUCUCUUUUGGAAUAGUUUUGAACUAAUGAUUCAAGAAAAUUUCAAAACCUAUUGCACUUGUUCAGUCCAUAGAUCAAACUUCACAAAACAUAGACCUGAGACUAAUCAACUCAUAAGUUGCACGCUAUCCUGCCUCCCCUCCCCUCGAUACGGCUCGCCACACGGCCUAAUCGCCGGCCCUAACGCAGAAGGAUUCCACCCACGAUUUUCUUUUCUGUAAAACGUUUGGCACCUGUGUUUUAUAAUUCCAGUGCCCAGCGGGUUCAAUUUAAGGUACUCUUUAGAUCUAAAGUUUGUACUGGAGUUGCUGUUGGUUCAUUCAUAUUCGUUCAGUACUGCCUCUGAAUUUUGGUUCUGCAAGUCUUUAGACCUCUUAUCUUUGCUAUGACUAGAUUAUAGGAGAAUUUUCUGAAACAACAGAUAGCAAGGGUGUAUAUCUGAUCGAGCAAGUUGCAGGAUGAUGCUGAGAGUUUUCAAACACCAUUAGGUUAUUAGCAAUCCUUUGUCAAUAUUUGCCAUCGUUGGAUAUUGACACAAAUUCAGGAAUGUAUGUUGUCAAAAGAUUUUAAACCCUUGGUCUUUGGGUUGUGAUCAUAUUAUCCUUUGUUAUCCGACUGGAGCUAUUGUUGAAUAUUAUUGAUGAGUGUUUUGCUAUUUUGGAUUGUCUUCCAAUAUUUGUUGUUUGAGCUGUUGUGCUUGUCAGUGGAAUAAUAUCUAGAAUUAUGCUGAUUGGGGCUGCAUCCAGAGAACUGUAUUCUAAAAGUCUAAACACCUGGAAAUUAGUAUUGAUGGAGACCAUUUAAUAUUUAAUAUCUCCGUAGGGAGGUUGCUCUGAGGAGAACAAAAUGGAGUUGCAUCGACGUUUUCCGGACAAAAUAUCAUGGCGGGGCUAGGUAAGUUACAACACAUGUAGUAUGUAAGUUACCAUGAUGUUUACACUGAAGUUACGAGGAGCAUAGAAAAUGUUUGCCUCACCCUUCUCCCCAUACGCACUAGAGGGGGGAAAUCUGAUGGCAUCCUAGAUUAUCCCAUUUCAAAAAUUCAAAAUGUUUUAUAGCUUAAACCGUUGUCAUGAUUCAAGAAUCCCUUUUCACCAUCAAAUCCACCAUGACAAGAUGUUCAAAACUUGAUCUCAUGUUGGUAUAUUUCAAUAAUUUUUUGGUCAAAAGUAACCAGGCCCUAUGGUAUGUAAGUUACCAUGCUUUUUACACAUAAGUUAUCGGGGUAUGUUUGAACAACUUUUUUCCCGAGUCAAAGUUACAUGGUGUUGUACGUAGUUUAUCAUGUCUGCAGUGCGUAAAUUACCAAAUUANNNNNNNNNNNNNNNNNNNNNNNNNNNNNNNNNNNNNNNNNNNNNNNNNNNNNNNNNNNNNNNNNNNNNNNNNNNNNNNNNNNNNNNNNNNNNNNNNNNNNNNNNNNNNNNNNNNNNNNNNNNNNNNNNNNNNNNNNNNNNNNNNNNNNNNNNNNNNNNNNNNNNNNNNNNNNNNNNNNNNNNNNNNNNNNNNNNNNNNNNNNNNNNNNNNNNNNNNNNNNNNNNNNNNNNNNNNNNNNNNNNNNNNNNNNNNNNNNNNNNNNNNNNNNNNNNNNNNNNNNNNNNNNNNNNNNNNNNNNNNNNNNNNNNNNNNNNNNNNNNNNNNNNNNNNNNNNNNNNNNNNNNNNNNNNNNNNNNNNNNNNNNNNNNNNNNNNNNNNGGUCAAAAGCAUGGUUCUGGUAAUGCAUGUGCAUGCUUUUCAUGGUUCAUGCACACAACUAGCACGUUUCCUUCAGGGAUGUGCAAAGCACUUGAACCGCCUCCAGGCUGCAAUUUGUAUUGAUGCACUAAUAAGAAGAGACAAAAUGAUCAAAUGCUGCUACUUUUUUUGAACUUGACAAGAACCAAGUACGGAGUAGUUGGUAAAUGGAUGAAGGUCUUAAGGUUGUAGUCUUUAGUUCAACUUCUGGCUUUGACAUCAGUUUUUGUCCUACAAAACUAAAAUGGCGUACUCUGGAGCCACCCCUCGUGUAUGGAAAUUGCACCGUGAGGGAAAAAUUGGGUCAAUGUCCACUCACCCAUGUUGGCCACCAUUAAAAGCGCUAAUCCCACAAAAUAUCGAUCAAAUUAAAUAACGUGAGAAGAAAAGAAAUCUGGUCGACGCCCACCUGUGAUCGCCAUUAAUCUUCUGUCUUUAUUAAAAAAAGAGGUAUCAAUACACACAUAAGUGACCAUUUUCUUAUUAACUUUUUUUCGUAUUCCUUCAUUUCCAUAAUAAAAAAAUCCUUGCCCCCAACCAGAUAUAGUACGGACUUUAAAAAAAAUCAUGCUUCAAGGAAUAAUCAUGUGGUCGAGCUUCUAUGCGUUAGUAGCUGCAUAUUUGUGCAUCUCCUUUUGUUUCAGCAUAUCAUAUUAUAUAGCUGCAAACACGCUGGCUUUGGCUAUAUUUCUAAUUUACUAAAUACGAAAUGUAAAUUGUAUUUCAAACAUUCAUGUCAACAUGGAAAGACUAUUGCAAAAGCAUGAGUUGUUGUAGACAAUAACUGGUAUCCAACAAUUAAUGAUGAUACUCUGGGUAAGUAAUUCCUGCUACCAGGACUCCUGGAGAUAAUCAUAAAAGGAUCAAAUUGAAAGCAAUAAAUGUUUUUUUGUAAAAUAUAUUUAAUAAUAAUUGAAGGAAAAAUAAAUCAUCAUUUAUAAGAAUUACUUAGAACUGUUACUUUGGUAUUCUAAACAAUAUUUCAAUUUUCUGAACAGAUUUGAAAAAGAAUAAUAAAACGUUCAUAAAGGAUAAAAACGAAUUAACAAAAAAAGGGAGGAAAAACGAAAAAUUAGAAAAGAAAAAAAUAUGCUUAGGCCUUGGCCUAACUAGGCGACGGCAUGGCUCCUGUCGGGCGCAACUGGGCCGGCCUAAGUGCUCGCUAAUCUGAAAAAGUUUAUCAAUUGUUUUAAAAAAUGUUCACAGAUUUCAACUGUUUUCAAAAACAAAUUCACUAAAAAUAAUUGAAAAAAGUAGCAUCACAUUUUUGGGAACCUCAGGUUUGCAGCCGAUUUUUUUUGUAUCCAGCGGAUAUCCAGCGGAUAUUGGGAACCUCAAUCGGAUAUCCAGCGGAUAUGGUAUCCCUGGUAUCCCGCAGAUGUGGAUUAUCCGCUAUUUUCUGUAGAUUAUCCGAGGAAAGAAAUCAGAUUAUAUCCGAUAAAAUAAGUCCAAACGGCUGUCCAUAUGUAUGCCCAUUUAGGUUAGUGAUUGUAGAUUUACAAUCAUCCCAUGUACUCUACCAUAAUCUCGUACGCAAUCAAAGCAUGCAAAAUUGGUAGUAUAGCGGCGAUAGCGCAUACAUAUCCUUCUAUCAAUCGCCAUAUUGCAUUGUUGCUUCUCCCCGGCCGCUGGUUGCAUGUCUGAUCUCUCGGAUAGUCUGGCAGUUCAAUCUCGAUGGUCAAAGAUGCCCGUGGCCAAUCAGUAGGUCCCAACAACAGAGGUAAGUGAAUUUGUAGAUGCACAGAGUCCUGCACAAGUUUAGAGCACCGAUGAUCUGUGGUCAUGUCCGGCUGUCAGUGGACGCCAUGAGCUGUCUGCACGCCCGCACCAGGACACCAGGCACGCCAUGUCACGCCCCAAAACACGGCUCGGACGUAACAGCCACCACGCGUUUAUAAACAAAAGGUUAUAAACGUGUGAGGCCUAAACUAAGACAUUUCACCAUAAUACACACACACACACACACACACACACACACACACACACACACACACACACACACACACAUAUAUAUAUAUAUAUAUAGUGUUAUUAUUCAUCACCCAGGGUGCAGAAUAAGUUAUUCUUCACCCGAGGUAAUUUUACGAUCAUUUCAUAAAUACAAAUUACAUUUGAAAUACAAAUAGUUACAUUCAUAUUGAUUUACUGCAUAAAAUUUGGCAUACAAAAAAAUAUAGGUCAAAAAAUGUAUUUUAUGUACAUUUUACACUAUGUUUUUACAUUUGUAAUUUUACGUAACAUAACAUAUUUUUUAUGACAUUACAGGUUUUCUUAUGUUCUCUUUUUAUGUCUAAAAUAAGACAAAAUUUAUGAAACGUAAAAUUACGGUUCAUAGAUAUCAAAAUAGAGGUGGGUGAAGAAUAACUAUUCCUCACCCAGGGUGACGAAUAGUCAAUCCCUAUAUAUAUUUCUGGGGAUACAUAUAGCUCUUGCUGAAAAUAAACUUCUAAAGUACUUUAAUUUAUUCCCUUCCGGCGCAUGCUACGCCUACUGCUCAAAGCCAUGCUCAAUACCGCUUUGGGCUGAAAAUAGAAAUUAAGCAAGGGUGAGUAUGAUGAUUCAUAUCCAGCAAGUAGCAUUUAUCCAAGAGUACAGAAGGAGAAAGUGUUAUGGAUAUCACAACGGUGUAAUUCAAUUUCAAGAAAAUGAUAUGGCAACAAUGGAAAGAUUUAGCGGCGAAAAAUAAAGUAGUACAAAAUGCUGAAUUAAAAGAUAAUAUCGAACAGAGUUCGACCGAAAUACUGGAAAUAUUUACGGCGGUGUAUAAGGAAAAUAUUCGCAUCACACGUGACCAGCAAGCUUUCCAACCCGGGGUCACAGGGGUGAAAUUUCACACUUUUACACUCUUAAAAGGGGUACUCUAACAUCGACAGUCUCGACCAAAACCACCUGGGUUCCAUAAGAGCAGAGUCCUUUGGUCCCCUGAGGUGCAACAACUUGACUUACUAGUAUGGGUCGUUCCCAAGGAUCCAUCACCGAUACCCUGUUCGGAACAAGUGUCGCCCCCAGCGGAGAACUUAGAUAGUCCCAUACCUGAAUUGUGAUCGGUAUAAUACGUUUGCGGUCGUGACACCAAUAUAAACAUUAUGUGAAUAUGGAAAUAAGAAGGUUAGUGAUAUUAUGAAGCUUAUGUGAUAAUCCUCAUGUCUCCGCGUAAGCCCAAAUAAUCACGACGAUUACUUGCUUACCGGAACAUAUUUCUUUUCAACAGCACCGUGACCAAUGAACAAAGAGCAAUUGCAGAAGAACUCAUAUACACGGUAUAGUGGCUAGCAAAAGAAAUACUAGCAGCAGUAUAUCUCUAGAUCAGUGUAACAUAGUGCAAGUCGCAGGACCAAGCACAGCAACGGAAUUAUACAUAUACUAAAUCUGACCAGGUUUCUUUUACCCUGUUUUUUAACUUUUUCUUAUCAGUAGAAAUCACACCAAUGGGUGUGCGACAUGUGUUUUAGUAGGGGAUUUGGCUGUGUGCCGUCCGUGUUCAUGUAGCGAUUCUGGGUGGGUCCCUGGUUCUAGCAUGCAAUUGGCUUGCAUGUGCAUGCACGAUGCGCAGUUUCCAUUGGGCUGCAUGUGUUGUGUGCAUGUUCCUCCGUCUUUUUCCAACGGUUUUGUCUCUUUCCGUUUGUCCUUGAUUGCAUGUACCGAAUCCCAUGCUGUCGUGGCCAACUUUUACACCGUCUGUUGUUUCAAAAUUGGAUUUUUCUUCGCGGCGCGUGUGUCUUUGGUUCUGUUUGGAUCGUGGGGUUAAAGCUAGUUUGGGUUAGUUGGGGGCUCAAAUAACCCAAAAGUAUUCAAACAGGGAGGGUUAGAGUGGAUCCAACUAUUCCGAUGGAGAGGUGCUUAUUUGGGUUAGAGUAGGUUAUAAAAUAACUCUAACUCUAACUGUGUUAGAGUAUUCAAACAGGGCCUUUGUGCAAUCGGCUGCCGCUUCGGUCGUGCUUUCUAGGCCUGGUACUCCGUCGGCUGCCGCCUUUCUUUAUUCUUCUGGUCGUUUCUUCCUCACAUGCAGUGGCUGUCUUCGAUUCGUCGUCGCCUACUAUAAAUAUGGGCCUUCCCAUUGAGCUUCCUCUCAUUCUGGUUUCAGCCAGGUGCGCGUUCCUUCCUGCAUUUAGUGGCAGGAUUUAUAGAGGCAGCGAUGGUUACUCCUCCUGUUGUUCGGUCUGGUCGGGGCCGGCGGGGCGUCCUCCAGGGAUCCGGGCGGCUGUUAUCGCCCGUGUGCGUAAUGGCUGCGGUCGUUUCCCUCCCGCGGAUCAUCCCACAGUAAUGGAAGAGGUUGUUGUCCGUGAUGAAUUGCCUGUUGUUCAUUUAAGGUGUCGUUGCCGCCGUGCGGUUCGCCGGCCGUUGCGUUUUGGACGGAUUGGUAAGUUCAUUCAGCCUACUCGAGUAUUUGCAAGCUUAUUUAGUAUGUUUACGUAUUGGUUUACUCGGAGUGUGGUCGCUUCAUUUGGUUGCUUUUUUUUGUACAUGGUCAACGUUUGGUUCCCCAUCGGCGGUCUUGAUCGCCGCCGUCAAGAGAUUUCUUUAGGGAAGUGGCCUGUUGAGUCUGUUGACUCUACUUAAGGCAAGUGCGUUGGCUUCUUGUUAUGCAUGCGACUGUCUCUGUCUGCUUGCGUACGUUUCUUUUUCUGCCUUGCUUACUACACUCGCUUAUUACUUCUCUUCCUUUUUGUCAAGGCUACACUCUUACUGCUGAUUGUUCUUGUGCAUUUGAUGGUCUGAUGCCUGCUGCUCCGCUCGCCGGCGUGGGAUCUGGUGAGUUUCUGCUUCUUCUCUGUGUAUUAUGUUGGUUGUGCUGGCUGUUGUAAGAUGGGCAUAAUUUUUUUUUGUUGACGUUGGGACGGUUGGUGAUGAUUUUUUCCUUUCUAUAAGCUGCUUGUGUGGGUCUUUGUGUGUGGUCCAUGCGACAUGUUUUUUUUUGGUUCAUUUGCUUAGCUACAUGGAUUUCGGCCUGUUUUUAAUGCAGUUCGUCCAAUGUUUUGUUGCAGCUUCCUCGGUGGCCCAGACGACUCAUGGGUUUAUCCUUUUUCUCUUCCUGCUGAUGUUCACCUUGAUCAUCGCUUGGUGGGUGCUCCGUCUGUUGUUAAUCGUUCCAAGGGUGUGCCUUUGCGUGUGGCCGGUGCUUUCGGUCGGCCUACUCCUCUUGAUGAGUUUAGGUUCUGAAACAUGCAUCUGCCACUGCCUUUUUUCUUUUCUUUUUUUGUUUGUGUUGGAUAUGGUUCUAAUUUGUAUAUGUGGCUGUUUUUUGAGUGAUGCCUACUCCUGUCAUGCAAUACUUUCGUAAGCGGGCGCUGAUGCGGAUUUGCAUGCGAGGAUCUCCUUUGCAUGCCUUUUUUUUGCUUACGAUCCAGCGCGCCUUUUGUGUGUCCUUGUUUUAGAGGGGGUUUAUUUUGAGUAGUUUGGAUUGCUUAUCAUAUAUAUGUCACAUGGUGUUGUUUUAAAGGGUUUCAUAUAUAUAUUUUUAAUGCUGACUUGCAUGGCGGUUAGACGGUGUUGGUCUUCAUGACGCUUCUGGGCGCCGCUUUGCAGAUCGAUGCUUCUGAUCGCCACUUUGCAUGAUACUUCUGGUAGGGUUUGCCAUCUCCGAUUCGCUUCGCCUCACGAAGCGGUGUUCUUCUUUCUUGGUGGGUAGGUCAUGGUGGUUCUUGCCGAAGUGGUGCCUGCCGCCGGGGCCGUCCAUACCUCGCCGGAGCCCCAACUGCCAGGAUGCAAUUCAUCUCUCAGCGCCGGUACAAUCUCCCCUAUGCGGUCGAGUUGGCGGCGCACGCAUGAGAUAUCAUCGACUACCGGUGGGAGCCAUCACCGACGACUUGCAGAAGGUGCAUGCGGAGGGCCUGAUAUGGUGGGGUUCAGUGCAACAAUCUGGCCAAUGCUGCUAUCCUUAGCCGUUGGUCGCUGACUCUGCCGCAAACCCCUACGCCACCACAAACAUGCCCAUGGCCGUCCUCGUUGGUGACGACUUCUCGCGGUUUGGGCAGGGCAGCGGAGGCUACGAUCGGAGGGUUAGAGGUGGCGGUGGCGGUGGCGGUUGAGAGGCUAAAUCCAGGUUAAUGUCACGUCGCUCAAUCCAUCUAUUUUUUCUGCGCUAGUGGCUUCCGCUCUGGUGGUAGAGGAAGCAGGAAAGAGAGGGAUGGUUUGGGCCGGGCAUGCCUUAUAAUGUAUCUGUGCAGAUUAUAAUAUUUCCAUCAAUGACCAUAAUUACUAUGCUCUUGAAGUUACAAAGGAAAGACUGUUCACAGCCAGAGAAAAUGCACAAGCAAAGCAAUGGCGAUUCAAUAUGGCCCGUCAGCAAGUAGCUACACAGCAAAACAAGUUUACAAGACAAACAAUGAUUCUAGCAGCAAUGUGCAAUAAUUUUUUUGAUAUAUUGCCACUCCGUAUGUACCUUCAGCGCCCAGACAGCGAUGAUCCUAUCAUCACGUACACAUGCGCGCAUCUUUCUAUUGGACGUCUGUAAGAAUUUGCAAAAGCUCUGUACCACUUCAUCACCGGCGCCAAUCCUACAGGAGGAUACACCAGGAUGAUCUAAUCCAUCACAGACUGCUUCUAGCUUACUUAUAUGGCGUGGUUGUGUGGCUUACUUCUACAUCGUGGUUGUGUGGCUUACUUCUACAGCGUGGUUGUGUCUCUAUAUACAGUUUACCACAUAGAGUGGACUGCAUAUAGUUUGAAUAAUUAGUUUAUCUUAGAAGCGUGCCACUUCUAAAUAGUCUGUUUGUAUCCACACAUUUGCAAGAUUUUAAUAAAUUCACAUCUUCAGUGUCUUCAAUAGCUCUAUAUAUCCGUCUGACUUUCUUGAAUUAAAAAGUAAAUGAGUAUGCAUUGAUUUAUUCUUAAAUCAAUAGACUACAUAUAUUCGUAAGUAAUCACCAAGCGCGGCGUGCCGCCGCGCGGGUUAGGCUAGUACUCCUCUACCACCAGAGCGGAAGCCACUAGCGCUUAGAAGACUGAUAUUAAGAAAUACUAGCAUCAUGGCCAUAACAAAUACUAGCAUGUCAGAGCUCUUAGAAGACUGAUAUUAAGAAAAAAUUAAUUCUAAUGCAUUUUAAUUAUUCUUAAGUAACACACGGGUAUUACACGCCAGCAUCGUAGAGCGUCAAUGGUCGUGGUUGACUCUUCUUAUGGCCAUGAUCGGCUGCCCAGACACGACGAUGGGCAGCGUCCGCCCGUGCGGCGCACGCACGUCGGGACGGCGGUCUGCCAUGGAUCCAACGUGGGUUUGCAUCCAAUACCAACCUCCAAAUUUCCCCAAUCAUCAGAAAAAAAAAAUCCCACCUAGCUUUCUAAGUCUCUUGACUCUAAAAAGAUACCAGCUAGGUUUCAAAUUCUUUUGACUCGGAAAAGAAAUCCUACCUAGUUCUUCCAUUCCUUCCCGAUAUUUUCUUAUAUCUGUACUCUAUAUUCGUAUAUAAUACUUACCUAAUAUUCUGAGCUCACAAAGUCUGAAAAACUGUGUUAUUUAUUUGUACUUGAUUAUCUUUGCUUGGCAUUUUAAACGUCGGCCACUCCUAUGUUUGGUGUCACGUUCUGCCUCUGGAUGCAUUUGCCAUCAUGCACAUAUAGCUGUCGUUUGUCUAGCACUGCUCUUUUGUUUGAAACCGCUAUGCAUCCGGGUUUUUAAUCUCGACUGAGAUUUUCAGAAACCGGUAGAAAACAGGCCUUUCCAUUACCCAGCAAAAAAUUCGAAUACCUUCAAUUUUUUUAAAUUUAAACAUUUAACUGAUGUCAAAUAGCGAUCAUAUGCCUUGGCAAACAAAAAGACAACCUUUAGCAUUGUCGUAAGGCGGUUGCUGUAGCUCCACGGAGUCGCAUGAUCGAAUCGCCAUUUUUGUCAACUGGUCUUUUAAAGUGUUUUUGAGUUUAGAACAAAAAUUCCAGCACCAAGCAGGAGGGGUGGUUAGAACCCACAAGCUUCCGAUGAAAGGAAAUACGGGCUGACCAUUUGAACAGGAACAACGUUGUGUAAGGAAAGGCUUAAAAUAUUAUGUUUUGAAGCAAAAGAAAUUUGAAUUCAACAUUCAUUUGAAAAUUUCGGGCCAAAGAAAUCCAAAAAUUCCAUCUAACAUGGCCGUGGUAGGAAUGAAAAGAUCCAACAAAGAUGUGGGUUGGUAUGGGGAGCCCUUGUGAUGAGGAGUGGCCUUGUUCUAUGUUUCAAUGACGACCUCCAUUGGCAAUUUUUUGGACUCGCCUUGGCUCGAUGGAAACAAGGCUAAAGUCGAUAUUCCACCUUUCAUCUUUGCGCUCCGCCCGCGAGGAAAAAACUAGAAGGUGAGGGGGCCAUGGAGGAUGAUGAUGCAUGAAUCCGCAAGCUCAAAUGCGACUCCCCAAUGAUUGGUGGCCCAUCAAGGAGACCGCUCUUUGGACCACCAUGGAGCACUUGAAGAAAAUCACGACACCAGAGUAACUAUUUUGUAAACCAUGCAUAAAAGGCUCGACUCUAGAUCUACAUGAAACUGACUCACGGAAGAACAAGGGCGGACUGUAUGAAAUAAUCUUCCACUCUCAAAGUUAUCUCAAAAACAGAUACCCAAAGUUCAACAGCGGAAAGAGUAACCACCAACCAAGCAGUUAACUACUCCUACAUGAAUUACUACAAUUCCACAUGACAUCCCACUUGGAUAUGAUCAAGCAUUUGAUUCACCAUCUCAAAGAAAACAUAAAAAACAUCUGACUGGAGUACUGGACACCACCAUAUUCAGGCAAAAGAAGUUCUAUUCUCCACAUGGUUGGAAAGGUAAGCGACGCCUUUUCAUAGACCUUACUUUUAAGACUAUCCUGUUGAUAUCUCCAAUCUCCGACAUGAGGCUUCGCAUCACCAAAAUGUAGCUCAGAAAUGCGCUAGCAACCUACCAUCCAGCAGCACUAACACAGCGUUUUCCUAUUGGAUCAGCAACAGCCACACGGCCCUGCGCAGGAAUUCAAACGCCGAAACAAAAGGGUCUUUAACCGAAACAACAGUGUUUUCCUAUGAGAUCUUGAGAGACAUAUAUAUCCAGGAACCAAAACGCUGAAACCAACUGGAAAAACGACGUGUCCACAACCUUCAACGUUCAUAGCC
RNAcentral lists this long non-coding RNA (41849 nucleotides) under Triticum aestivum (bread wheat). RNAcentral's name for it is "long non-coding RNA (TAES_LNC025038)". The record is from RNAcentral. Lineage: Eukaryota; Viridiplantae; Streptophyta; Magnoliopsida; Poales; Poaceae.